Molecule: long non-coding RNA, 334 nt
Organism: Bufo gargarizans (Asiatic toad)
Lineage: Eukaryota; Metazoa; Chordata; Amphibia; Anura; Bufonidae
Exons: 3
Source: RefSeq, a predicted model, not a curated record
AUGUAGUGUCCAGCGGUGCAGGUGGAGGUUCCUAUAAUAUAGGAUCCGCUCAGUGGAUGUCUUCUAUAUAAGAUCCUUCUCCUGAUUGACCCGUCAAGGAUGGAUAGGAACAGGGACAAAAUGGCGGAGAGUAUAAUAAAUCUCACCCUAGAGAUCCUCUUCCGGCUUACUGGAGAGGACUACACAGUCGUGAAGAAGGUCUCUAGUGGGCGCUGUCAGGCCCCUGUGUCUGAAGGAUGGGGAAGAACCCUGAGCCCAAUCACAGGGCCUCCACCUCACCCCCUGAUACAUAAGGAAAUCAAUAGAGAGAAGAUCCUAAAACUUACCACCAAGA